RNAcentral lists this transfer RNA (71 nucleotides) under Podarcis lilfordi (Lilford's wall lizard). Its description in RNAcentral is "tRNA.Ala". Lineage: Eukaryota; Metazoa; Chordata; Lepidosauria; Squamata; Lacertidae. The record is from RNAcentral.
GGAUCAUAGCUAAGUGGUAGAGCAUCUGUUUUGCACACAAGAAGUCCCAGGUUCAGUCCCCAGCAGCACCU